Oncorhynchus tshawytscha (Chinook salmon) is the source of this 479-nucleotide long non-coding RNA. Lineage: Eukaryota; Metazoa; Chordata; Actinopteri; Salmoniformes; Salmonidae. The record is from Ensembl.
CAAGACAGAUACAAUGUUCCUUGAUUUAAGUCAUACAACCACUGGGAAUAUGACCCUAAAAAUAUGCCCAAGUUAACCCCAGCAGACCAUCAUUUUCUCCUGGUGUCUGAGAUAGUUGGUGCCAGAGAGACCAAAGAAGACGACCAAACAAACUAAGAUGGUCGAAGGAAGCAUAAAGUUCUGUUGUAUCCGUCUGCAUUCACAGGCAGCUGACCGAAACGUUUGCUAGUGUACAUCAAUCCCUACGGUGGAAAACAGCGUGGGAAGCGGCUUUACGAGCAGAGAGCAGCACCACUCUUCUCCCGAGCCUCCAUCUCCACCGACGUGAUCAGUGACUUACUGUCAUAGAGCCUACAUUAACAUUUACAUAACAAAUGAGCAUUUAUGGCCGGCAAAUAUUUUUUUGUUGACUUGGCAAACAGCCUAUACCCGCCAACCACUCCCAAGAAUAUGGUUUUAUUUAUAGCACCAUCCAUCAA